UGGGGAAUUUUGGACAAUGGGGGCAACCCUGAUCCAGCCAUUCCGCGUGAGUGAAGAAGGCCUUCGGGUUGUAAAGCUCUUUCAGCAGGAACGAAACGGUCGGCUUUAAUAAAGUCGGCUAAUGACGGUACCUGCAGAAGAAGCACCGGCUAACUACGUGCCAGCAGCCGCGGUAAUACGUAGGGUGCGAGCGUUAAUCGGAAUUACUGGGCGUAAAGCGUGCGCAGGCGGCGACAUAAGACAGAUGUGAAAUCCCCGGGCUCAACCUGGGAACUGCGUUUGUGACUGUGUUGCUAGAGUGUAGCAGAGGGGGGUGGAAUUCCACGUGUAGCAGUGAAAUGCGUAGAGAUGUGGAGGAACACCGAUGGCGAAGGCAGCCCCCUGGGUUAACACUGACGCUCAUGUACGAAAGCGUGGGGAGCAAACAGGAUUAGAUACCCCCGUAGUCCCUGAGCGGGCUGGCAAGGCGCAU
This 472-nucleotide ribosomal RNA is filed under the name uncultured bacterium. RNAcentral describes it as "bacterial SSU rRNA". It matches the Rfam family "Bacterial small subunit ribosomal RNA", at positions 355 to 825 of the family's 1533-position model. The record is from RNAcentral.